UAAUACGGAGGAUGCGAGCGUUAUCCGGAUUUAUUGGGUUUAAAGGGUGCGUAGGCGGUCUGAUAAGUCAGUGGUGAAAGUUUUCAGCUUAACUGGAAAAAUGCCGUUGAUACUGUCAGGCUAGAAUAUGGUUGCUGUGAGUGGAAUGUGUGGUGUAGCGGUGAAAUGCUUAGAUAUCACACAGAAUAUCGAUUGCGAAGGCAGCUCACAAAGCCAUUAUUGACGCUGAGGCACGAAAGUGUGGGGAUCAAACAGGAUUAGAUACCCUGGUAGUCCACACUGUAAACGAUGAUAACUAGUUGUUGGCGAUACACAGUCAGUGACCAAGCGAAAGCGAUAAGUUAUCCACCUGGGGAGUACGACCGCAAGGUUGAAACUCAAAGGAAUUGACGGGGGCCCGCACAAGCGGAGGAACAUGUGGUUUAAUUCGAUGAUACGCGAGGAACCUUACCCGGGCUCGAACGGUGCAGGAAUAUGGUAGAGAUAUCAUAGCUAGCAAUAGUCUGUAUCGAGGUGCUGCAUGGUUGUCGUCAGCUCGUGCCGUGAGGUGUCGGCUUAAGUGCCAUAACGAGCGCAACCCUUGUCGUUAGUUGCCAUCAGGUCAAGCUGGGAACUCUAACGAGACUGCCACCGUAAGGUGUGAGGAAGGGGGGGAUGACGUCAAAUCAGCACGGCCCUUACGUCCGGGGCGACACACGUGUUACAAUGGUAGGUACAGAGGGCCGCUAACCAGCGAUGGUGUGCAAAUCUCAAAAACCUAUCUCAGUUCGGAUCGGAGUCUGCAACUCGACUCCGUGAAGUUGGAUUCGCUAGUAAUCGCGCAUCAGCCAUGGCGCGGUGAAUACGUUCCCGGGCCUUGUACACACCGCCCGUCAAGCCAUGGAAGCUGGGGGUGCCUGA
Molecule: ribosomal RNA, 900 nt
Filed under: uncultured Parabacteroides sp.
Lineage: Bacteria; Pseudomonadati; Bacteroidota; Bacteroidia; Bacteroidales; Tannerellaceae
Description: bacterial SSU rRNA
Rfam family: Bacterial small subunit ribosomal RNA
Source: RNAcentral